This 245-nucleotide ribosomal RNA is filed under the name uncultured bacterium. RNAcentral's name for it is "partial 16S ribosomal RNA". It matches the Rfam family "Bacterial small subunit ribosomal RNA", at positions 524 to 768 of the family's 1533-position model. The record is from RNAcentral.
UACAGAGGUCCCAAGCGUUGUUCGGAUUCACUGGGCGUAAAGGGUGCGUAGGUGGCGAGGUAAGUCGGAUGUGAAAGCUCGGAGCUCAACUCCGAAAUGGCAUUGGAAACUACCUUGCUCGAGGGUUGGAAGGGGGACUGGAAUUCUCGGUGUAGCAGUGAAAUGCGUAGAUAUCGAGAGGAACACCAGUGGCGAAGGCGAGUCCCUGGACAAUACCUGACACUGAGGCACGAAAGCUAGGGGAG